UGGAAAGGACAGUUUAAGAGUGCACAAAUUGCUAUAGAAGAUUUGCAAGAAAGUAGAAUAACAUGGAGCAGCGGGUAUGAGCAUUGACGUUUGAGUUGGCAAUGGUCAAAGCUUCUUCAAGCCAAGUUGAGAAGGACAAAGAACGCAUUGAAUGUUCUUUUUUGGAGCAGUUGUCCAAGUCAAGUGAAGAAAUUAGAGAGCUAAAAGCACUGCUGAGCCGAAAAGAAGUUUAUGCGGGAGAUUUGGUGCUGAGUUUGACUCAAACACAAGAAGAUUAGAGAAUCUCCUCUGACAAGGUGCGUGCCUUAGAAAGCUCUUGUGCCUCUCUCCAAGACUCUUACGAUUCAACUUUGGCUAAAAAUGAAGAGCUCAAGAAUGAACUUGCUGUUUGGGAAAGAGACUAUGAGCUUCUCAAAGAAAAACUAGCUGUUGAAGUAAGUUGGGCUUUUCUAAACUCUCGCCGUGAUGCCUUGACUGAAGUUUGUCAAGAGAACUUCAACUUAGAGUCAGAAUUAGCCAAGGUUAUGGAGACGAUUGAAAAGGCUCAACAACCACUCGUUGAAGUAAGUUGAGAUUUUCUGAACUCUCGUCGUGAUGCCUUGACUGAAGUUAGUCAGGAGAACUUCAACUUAGAUUCGGAAUUGGCUUUGGUUAUGGAGACGAUUGAAAAGGCUCAACAACCACUGGACUUUCCUUCUCCUGCAAUUGAAGUCCCCAUGGCCGAAGCUCCUGAGGCUGAAGAUCUUAUGGCUCAAGCUCCCGAAGCUGAAACUCUCAUGGUUCAAGCUUCCGAAGCUGAAACUCUCAUGGUUCAAGCUCCUGAAGUUGAG
This 830-nucleotide long non-coding RNA is filed under the name Nicotiana benthamiana. Its description in RNAcentral is "long non-coding RNA (NBEN_LNC027439)". The record is from RNAcentral. Lineage: Eukaryota; Viridiplantae; Streptophyta; Magnoliopsida; Solanales; Solanaceae.